AGACGUCUACAUUAGAUACCCCUGUAGUCCCAGCCGUAAACUAUGCGCGUUAGGUGUAUCGGUGACCACGAGUCACCGAGGUGCCGAAGGGAACCGUGAAACGUGCCGCCUGGGAAGUACGGUCGCAAGGCUGAAACUUAAAGGAAUUGGCGGGGAGCACCACAACGGGUGGAGCCUGCGGUUUAAUUGGACUCAACGCCGGGAAGCUCACCGGAUAGGACAGCAGAAUGAUUGCCGGGCUGAAGACCCUGCAUGACUAGCUG
This 263-nucleotide ribosomal RNA is filed under the name uncultured archaeon. RNAcentral describes it as "partial 16S ribosomal RNA". It matches the Rfam family "Archaeal small subunit ribosomal RNA", at positions 714 to 982 of the family's 1478-position model. The record is from RNAcentral.